UUAAUGCAAAGCCAUUCACUUGAUCCAUGAUCAAGAUGAAUUAGAUUUGAAUCAAGGAAGAUUAAACCUCCAUGUAUCAAUGCUAACCACCAAUCUUUAACUCAUUGAUAAAAAAAAAAAAAGAAGCAGAAGAAGAAGAUGAAGAGUUAAAGUGCAUUAAUUGAAAUGGAAUAAGAUAAUCAACAAGCAUUGACCAAUGAUAGAGAAGAUCAAG
Molecule: long non-coding RNA, 214 nt
Filed under: Lathyrus oleraceus (garden pea)
Lineage: Eukaryota; Viridiplantae; Streptophyta; Magnoliopsida; Fabales; Fabaceae
Description: Pisum sativum (pea) long non-coding RNA (PSAT_LNC027175)
Source: RNAcentral